This is a long non-coding RNA of Podarcis muralis (Common wall lizard), 541 nucleotides long. RefSeq lists it as uncharacterized. The record is from RefSeq and is a predicted model, not a curated record. Lineage: Eukaryota; Metazoa; Chordata; Lepidosauria; Squamata; Lacertidae.
CCCUCCCGCAGCGUGUCAGAAGGAAUCCCAACCCGGACUCACGGUGCUCGGCGAGGAAUGGCCGAGGGGCGUCGUUCCGCCUCUUCUUCCUCCUCCUGCUGCUGGUAAAAAAAGAGUAACAAAACUUCAAGUCGACACAUGACAUGAAAGUAAAAGGAUAAAAGAAGUCCUAACAUCAGGAAAUGAGAUAAUAUUAGAUCUACUUGUAGAACUCAAUCUACCAUCUGUCUGUCCACCUCUUCUCUUCUCAUAUCAGCAGAUUCAUCCACUAAGACAAUUAUCCUCACCCAAAGCUGCUCACGUGAAUAGAAAAGAGGAAAGCAGGAUAUGCCACCAGGCUUACAAAGUAAAGACAAGACACAGAAGCGAAGGGGAAGUCAGUUAUUCAAGGCCAUAACAAAGUGCUGAACAUGAUACCCAGCUCAGAUUUUUGCAAUUAUAAUGGGAAAAGAGAGAGAAACAACAUCAGUUGACAGCAUACUCUGAUUGUGAGUUUUGAGGAGAUUUUGAGCAUCACAUGAGAAGGCAAAAGAAGAGGUAA